CCCUUAGAUGUUCGGGGCCGCACGCGCGCUACACUGAAAGAAUCAGCGUGUGUCUACCCUGGUCCGGAAGGAUUGGGUAACCCGUUGAACCUCUUUCGUGCUAGGGAUUGGGGCUUGUAAUUAUUCCCCAUGAACGAGGAAUUCCCAGUAAGCGCGAGUCAUAAGCUCGCGUUGAUUACGUCCCUGCCCUUUGUACACACCGCCCGUCGCACCUACCGAUUGAAUGGUCCGGUGAAGCCUCCGGAUUGGCGCGCACCUCGGUGCCGCCGAGAAGUUGGCUAAACCUUACCAUUUAGAGGAAGGUGAAGUCGUAACA
RNAcentral lists this ribosomal RNA (316 nucleotides) under uncultured eukaryote. RNAcentral describes it as "partial 18S ribosomal RNA". It matches the Rfam family "Eukaryotic small subunit ribosomal RNA", at positions 1470 to 1796 of the family's 1831-position model. The record is from RNAcentral.